This 756-nucleotide non-coding RNA is filed under the name unclassified sequences. RNAcentral describes it as "MISL RNA". It matches the Rfam family "MISL RNA". The record is from Rfam by way of RNAcentral. RNAcentral also lists the same sequence under 1 other name.
GGAUAAUCCCAGGUGACUGGGGAAAAGUCGGGUCAGGCUGUUGGCCCGGCUCCUCGGAAAACGGAUCGCAAGAUUCGAACGAGAGGCAAAAUUCACCGGUUCCUCUGGCACGUUCGCGCGGGCCAGAACGCGAAAAUGGAAUCAGGCGGCGAGGGACGAUGAGAAACCGUUCCAGACCGAGUCAAGUAGUUCAGGCAGGUUUCGAGCCUGGAUGAAUCGCAGUUACCGAAAUGGUAUUUGGUUGCUACUGCGCAUCAGCACGGUGCGACUGACUCUGGCGGAAUUCAAAAAAUAAAAUUGAAUCCGCCAAAAGAAAAACGCCGGAAGGCGGACAAAGAGAGCGUUCGCAGCGGGAAGGUCACGACGGCUGGGCAAGUCGCGUGAAAACUUCCAAGGGUCGGCGAUGUUAAAAACGACACCGCUGAACUGUGAAAAAGGCAAUCUGUGAGUGAAGAGGCGAGACCCGUGCCUCGGGCGAACGCGCCGUCAAAAGCGGCGGCUGACCCGAAGCAAAUGGUCAAGACGCGAGAGAAAAUCGCAGGCGUGUCUUGACCUGGUUUGCAGGCCGGUGGCGCAACCAUCAGCCGAAGCGAGCUGAAAAGCCUCACUCGAAAUUCAGCAGCCGCAAGGCGCUGAACGGCCCUGCCACGAGGCCGAAGACUCCGCUUGCCGUGGAGAAUGGCGUCGGGAAACUGACAGCCCCUGAAAAAGGCGCGCGCCGAAUGUCAGUCCGGGAAAGAGAGUUUGGCGAACUCC